RNAcentral lists this ribosomal RNA (216 nucleotides) under Campeiostachys nutans. Its description in RNAcentral is "Elymus nutans partial small subunit ribosomal RNA". The stretch from base 40 to 216 matches the Rfam family "Eukaryotic small subunit ribosomal RNA", at positions 686 to 864 of the family's 1831-position model. Lineage: Eukaryota; Viridiplantae; Streptophyta; Magnoliopsida; Poales; Poaceae. The record is from RNAcentral.
GGGUUAGUAGGCUGGUCAUGCCUCUGGUAUGUACUGGUCUCACUGAUUCCUCCUUCCUGAUGAACCUUAAUGCCAUUAAUUUGGUGUUUUGGGGAAUUUGGACUUUUACCUUGAGAAAGUUAGAGUGUUCAAAGCAGGCCUUUGCCUGAAUACAUUAGCAUGGAAUAAUAGAAUAGGACGUGUGGUUCUAUUUUGUUGGUUUCUGGGAUCGCCGUA